GUGAAAGUGUUCAGGUGCUAGCAAAAGAAAUGGAAGCGAUUCUUAUGCAGAGGGACAGUUGUCCCAACUCGAAGGAAGUGCCAUUGCAUACAUGCAUUCAAAAUGCGCUGACGUGCUACUCCAAAUGUCAAAGGGAAUCCUUUUCGGGGCUCCUGGAGGCAGGCAUUAAAAAGUGCAAAACUCCAUUCUAAUCCUACAAAAAUGAUCUAAUCAGGGCAAAUGUCCUGCUGGCGGCCUGUUAUACACAUAACCAACAAAGAGCAGGCUAAACUACGCAGAGCUCUACAGGACAAGCUUGUAAAUAUUUUCAAGGCACUGGAGGGCUACAAGGGAUCUUGAGAUCGUGAGAAGAAAAAAUAAUGAUGAACUAGUUCUGUGGACUCAAAAGUGUUGGUGAAUGCGAUGUAUCGAUAGAAACGAACAGUGCUCAGCAACGUCGCACUAAAUGUCAACGUGCUUAGUGUCAUGUGAUCAAAUGUUCUUUCCAUUUCCGCAGCCGACCUGUUCAGUUCGCUUAUCUGAAAGAAAUUUUCUCUGAUUUCUUUUGGAAGAAAGAAGUAAGCUUCUUAACCAUGUAACCCAGGAACGCCAACGAACCCACCAUCUUUCGUUUUGUAUGGGCCAAUAAACGCCAUGUCACCGUCUGCUUGAUGAAGUUGGUAGUUUCGGGAGCGAUGUCGAUAUGGGCCUUAGACAGAGUGUUCGCGGAGGAGAUUGUAUUCCUGAUACUGCGCUUCAGUGGGCAGGAAAUAUUUUGUCCAGCCACUGGAGCACACUACUGAUGAUCUUGGCCGUCACCUGGAGCCAUUCGAUUGCAUCGAGUGGCUGCAGAUGACGGGCAAGAAGAUCCAUACCUCGGAGCUGGUGGAGGAGCAUCAUAUAGCGCCAACAUUGUGAAAGCUAGUAAGAUGCCGAAUGUCAGUAGGGUUGUCCAGUGGCUGCACAAAAAAUUUCCCGACCACUGAAACGGAAGCAAGUUUACUAUCUCCCCCCCGACCACACUGUCCAAGUUUCAUAUUGGCAUCGCUACCGAAACUAGAAACAUCAUCAAGUAGACGAUUGUAUGGCUUUUAUUGGCCCAUAUGAAGCGAAAUUCGUUGAAGAUCCUGGGCGUCAUUGGUAGUCAAGGAAUUCGCCCUGAUAGUAUCAACCAGCACAUCUCCAGAGGCAGAUGGCCUGUUUGUCGGCAUCCACAGACAGAAGUCGAACCAUUUUCUGGCCCUGAUCGGACGUAGAUGCUUGGCCUUACUACAUAGGAUCCCUGGACUUCUUCAAGUGUGUCCUGAGGCGCCCCCUCAGGGUCCUGGUUUUGGGUGUCCAGCGCUUCAUUGAGAAGGCUCUGGACGAGAAUAGCCGCUGUCAGAAUUUCUUGGAAUGGCCAUCCUGAGGCCGAAUCAACGCCACCCACAUCUUUAUAAGGACGACAUAACAAACCUGCCUCGAAACCAAUA
Molecule: long non-coding RNA, 1451 nt
Organism: Drosophila subpulchrella
Lineage: Eukaryota; Metazoa; Arthropoda; Insecta; Diptera; Drosophilidae
Exons: 5
Source: RefSeq, a predicted model, not a curated record